GUGCUCGUUUUAGAAGCACAUAUGUUAAAAUUGGAACAAUGCAGAGAAUAGUAGCAUGGCCCCUGCACUAGGAUGACACCCAAAUUCAUGAGAUGUUCCAUAUUUUU
Molecule: small nuclear RNA, 107 nt
Organism: Tupaia belangeri (northern tree shrew)
Lineage: Eukaryota; Metazoa; Chordata; Mammalia; Scandentia; Tupaiidae
Source: Ensembl